CACGUAGGGACCGAGCGUUGUCCGGAUUUAUUGGGCGUAAAGAGCUCGUAGGCUGUUCAGUAAGUCAGGUGUGAAAACUCUGGGCUUAACCCAGAGCCUGCAUUUGAUACUGCUGUGACUAGAGUUCGGUAGGGGAGCGGGGAAUUCCUAGUGUAGCGGUGAAAUGCGCAGAUAUUAGGAGGAACACCGGUGGCGAAGGCGCCGCUCUGGGCCGAAACUGACGCUGAGGAGCGAAAGCGUGGGUAGCAAACAGG
This 254-nucleotide ribosomal RNA is filed under the name uncultured bacterium. Its description in RNAcentral is "partial 16S ribosomal RNA". It matches the Rfam family "Bacterial small subunit ribosomal RNA", at positions 524 to 776 of the family's 1533-position model. The record is from RNAcentral.